Molecule: transfer RNA, 21 nt
Filed under: Polycalymma stuartii
Lineage: Eukaryota; Viridiplantae; Streptophyta; Magnoliopsida; Asterales; Asteraceae
Also listed under: 2 other names
Description: partial tRNA-His
Source: RNAcentral
CAAGGCAGUGGAUUUGUGAAU